GAUGAAGAACGCAGCGAAAUGCGAUACGUAAUGUGAAUAGCAGAAUUCAGUGAAUCAUCGAGUCUUUGAACGCACAUUGCGCCCCCUGGUAUUCCGGGGGGCAUGCCUGUCCGAGCGUCAUUGCUGCCCUCAAGCACGGCUUGUGUGUUGGGCCUCCGUCCUCCUCCCGGGGGACGGGCCCGAAAGGCAGCGGCGGCACCGCGUCCGGUCCUCGAGCGUAUGGGGCUUCGUCACCCGCUCUUGUAGGCCCGGCCGGCGCUUGCCGACACAUCAAUCUUUUUUCCAGGUUGACCUCGGAUCAGGUAGGGAUACCCGCUGAACUUAAGCAUAUCAAUAAGCGGAGGA
Molecule: unclassified non-coding RNA, 345 nt
Filed under: soil metagenome
Description: partial contains 5.8S ribosomal RNA, internal transcribed spacer 2, and large subunit ribosomal RNA
Rfam family: 5.8S ribosomal RNA (bases 1-120)
Source: RNAcentral